UACGGAAGGCAGCAGUGGGGAAUAUUGCACAAUGGGCGCAAGCCUGAUGCAGCCAUGCCGCGUGUAUGAAGAAGGCCUUCGGGUUGUAAAGUACUUUCAGUCGUGAGGAAGGUGUUAAGGUUAAUAACCUUAGCAAUUGACGUUAGCGACAGAAGAAGCACCGGCUAACUCCGUGCCAGCAGCCGCGGUAAUACGGAGGGUGCGAGCGUUAAUCGGAAUUACUGGGCGUAAAGGGCACGCAGGCGGUUAAUUAAGUUGGAUGUGAAAUCCCCGGGCUUAACCUGGGAAUGGCAUUCAAGACUGGUUAGCUAGAGUCUUGUAGAGGGGGUAGAAUUCCAUGUGUAGCGGUGAAAUGCGUAGAGAUGUGGAGGAAUACCGGUGGCGAAGGCGGCCCCUGGGACAAAGACUGACGCUCAUGUGCGAAAGCGUGGGGAGCGAAACAGGAUUUAGAUACC
Molecule: ribosomal RNA, 455 nt
Filed under: uncultured bacterium
Lineage: Bacteria
Description: bacterial SSU rRNA
Rfam family: Bacterial small subunit ribosomal RNA
Source: RNAcentral